RNAcentral lists this transfer RNA (75 nucleotides) under Nitrospina sp. Its description in RNAcentral is "tRNA-Glu". It matches the Rfam family "tRNA". From Rfam's summary of the family: Transfer RNA (tRNA) molecules are approximately 80 nucleotides in length. Their secondary structure includes four short double-helical elements and three loops (D, anti-codon, and T loops). RNAcentral also lists the same sequence under 3 other names. The record is from RNAcentral. Lineage: Bacteria; Pseudomonadati; Nitrospinota; Nitrospinia; Nitrospinales; Nitrospinaceae.
GGCCCCAUCGUCUAGCGGUUAGGACGCCGGCCUCUCACGCCGGUAACAGGGGUUCGAUUCCCCUUGGGGCUACCA